Molecule: long non-coding RNA, 1891 nt
Filed under: Homo sapiens (human)
Lineage: Eukaryota; Metazoa; Chordata; Mammalia; Primates; Hominidae
Description: PREDICTED lncRNA (TCONS_00151516)
Source: RNAcentral
CGCUUCUAGUAGGCCAAACUCCCAGGUGACCCCCGCAAGAAACGCGGUCCGGAGAGGGUCUGGCCCCACUGCUGGGGCAAGGGCUCUAGGCGCCCGGACCCCACGCCCGCAGCCUGCGGAGAACGUGCCGACAAGGACCUGUAGGGCCCCACUCCCCCUCCUCCCUCCCUCGGCGCAGCCCGGCCCAGGGGUCUGUCCUCCCAGGCCCAGGAAAGGAGGAAACCCACUUCCGCCGCGUCCAUGAUCUCCCGCGGCUUCUCCUGACUCUUGCGGCUGGCGCUGGCGCUGGGCAUCGGGACACGGAACUGGGCAGUGGACACCACCCUCCCUCGCAGGCUUCCAAAGUAAUUUGAAGGCCUUCCCUGACUUAAAGUGGAUGCUGCUUUGGAAAGCACUGGAAAAAUGGAUCCUGUCUUUCUUAGCCAAGGACUGGUCUCUUUUCUCCAAUGUGUCCCUAACAGAGUGGUGAGGCUGGCUCUUCCCACCAGUACAGACAGAAUUUUCAAUUCACAAAUCAUCUGAAAAACAGGAAAUUUUGGAGAAACAUGCUUAUGAUAACAAACAAGGGAUCUAUCGUGUGGUAUAGAAGUUUACACAAAGAGGCAUCUGAUUUUAAGUUUUUGUUUUUUUUUUUUUUUUUUUUUUUACCGUUCUGGGCUUCUGGCUGCAUUCUAGGAAGAUCAUUCCUUAAAAGAAAUAGCCAUAUGGCUUAUAAGACAUGGAAUAAACUUGACAAGUGCUAAAGAUGCUCUUUGAUUUUUGUGUGGCAUGAGACCUCAGGCUGAAACUUCUCAUCUGAGCCAUUGAAGGGAGCCUCUCAUCUCUCCACCGAGAGGGGAGACCAGAAUGGCUCCUUCAGGCACAUUCUGUUGGGCUUCCCUCUACCUCCCCACUCUGCUGCUUCCCCGCUCUUUUUGAAUUUCUCCCUGUUGAGGAGAGGGAAGACCAGCUAGGAGAGGAUCUGGAUUGAGAAACUUGCCAUGCUUUUCUCUCAGAUGUUCUCUUUUCUCUGAAGACAGCAGGACCUCAUCCAAAGCUCUGUUUCUGGCAGGAAUCUGACACCACUUACUCCUUGGGUAGAAACUCCCCCAAGUCUGAACUAUGUGAUUGCCUGAGCCCUGCUUCUUGUUCAUUAAGACUGCUCCUCUGAAACGGAAUUGAUGAAUUUUUAGUGGCUAUUAGAAGCAUUUGGGAUCCAUAGGCAUCAGGGUUUGAUGCAUGGCCCUCAUCUCUGUGGGCUCCUGUGCAAUGAUUCUCAUCUGUCUUAGUUAGAAAGUGAAUUAAUCUUGACCUUGGCCUCAGGGGUGUGGUUCUCUGCCCUCUUACACAUCUUCAAUUCGCUUCUUUAUCAGAAGCACUUGUUUUAGGCCCAGGCUCCCCCAAUUUUAAUGACAUUUAGACAUUUGUCUUUAAGUUACAUUGCUUUGAUUUUAAUCAAAAUCUAUAUUUCUAGUAUUAUAUGUUUCCAGAAAGUUCUCAUUCUGGAUUGUAAUUUAAUUACAUGGAUCAUUAAAGCUUUGAAGGAUGCUAAUGGGCAGAAAAAAGAGACUUAACAAAACGAAAGUUAUUAUUAGGAAUUACAAAUCACUUAACAUUUCAACAUCACUCGUCGGAUGUGGGCAUUUUGUUGAAAGAGACCUUGUUUUGAACAGUGACAGUGCAGAAGACCUAUGGAAGAAACAAGCUUCCAACUUGAUUUCUAUUGUUAUGCAUGCAUAGCAAAUUAUUAAUUCUAUUCUAAUAGGGUAAUAGAUUUAGAAAUACUAUUAGCAGAAAACUUGAUGUAUUAGGCAAUACUACAUACCACAUUAGUCUAACCGCUCAACUGUAAUUUUUCAUCCAUACUUUCUUGGGAUGUAAAUAAAAUUGAUAUUAUACAAUGAAAAUAAAA